Molecule: unclassified non-coding RNA, 942 nt
Filed under: Stegodyphus dumicola
Lineage: Eukaryota; Metazoa; Arthropoda; Arachnida; Araneae; Eresidae
Description: uncharacterized LOC118198414, transcript variant X10
Source: RNAcentral
AUUCGCAAUUUGUUCUUCCAGUCUUACUAUAUUUAAACGAUUUUAUCAACAGAAAAAAUGAAAUUCCUUUCUAAAUUAGACUUUCGUAUACUAAAAAUAUAAUUAUUUAUACAGUUUCUGUAUGUCUUUUUAUAUGAUUUACUAAUCAAAAGCUAAAAAUCUGGAAACUUGUGGAAAUUUUAUUGAUCCGGAAAUUAGUAUUUUAUUACAAAAUUUAUGGACUUUGCAUAUCUUCUUUGAGAAAAAUGGAAAAUAUCUUUCAUAGCUGCAGUUAAUGAUAACCGUUUUGCUAUUUAUGGUGCCAUUUGUUACGUUAUUUCUCCAAAAGCCCCUAGAACACAGUCUUCGUCAAAGCAUCUUUUGACUAAACCAUGUAAAUUAGAUGAGUUUUUGAAGGAAGAGAAAAGGCUUGAGUAAAGUAUUCAUCCAUAUUACCUGACAGAAACGGGAAAUGGGCGUAAUUCCGUACUUCCCUCUGAAAUCUAAAGAAUAUUCCAGCACGCGUAUACUGUUUCCGAAAGAAAAAAAAUCUGAUGGGCCCACCACAGGACUUCUGAAGCAAAGAAUGCCGAAGUGUGUUUAUAACACAUUCAAGAUACAAUUCACAUCAUGCAGAAGCCAGAAAGAAAGCCUUCGUUCGAAGAAGAAUAAAAUUUUUAAUCUUUAAAAUUUCAAAGACAUUUUUGGAAGCAGGCACGAUAAAAAAUGAGCAACGCCUUUGCCUGGAAUAGAACCGUGGGCCUCUGGAAUACGCGUUCAACAUGCGGACCACUACACCACGAAGGCACGCCAAGAAGAUGGAAGAAAUACCUUAUAUCUUAAAAGCAAAUUCGCCCAGUGUCAUUUUUAAAACCUUUAUUUGCAAACUCAUAAACACGCUAUUGUUUAACUGGUUAUUUUAUCAACUUAAUUUUUAACCAAAUAAACUUAAUUUUUGUAUGA